Molecule: unclassified non-coding RNA, 4596 nt
Filed under: Octopus sinensis (East Asian common octopus)
Lineage: Eukaryota; Metazoa; Mollusca; Cephalopoda; Octopoda; Octopodidae
Description: synaptogenesis protein syg-2, transcript variant X2
Source: RNAcentral
GUUAUACAUACAUAACAUAUAUAAAUAUACGUGGUGUCUGAGUUAGCAUCAUGUGUGUACGGCGUACUUGCAUGCAUGUAUGAAUGUACGAGUGUGUUUCGUGUCUGCUGUUGUUGUUGUUGUUGUUGUUGUAUGUUGUCUGUUCAUUUAAAUCUGCCAGCCAUGAGGCGAAUACAGACUCUUGUAAUUAUAACGAGUACCAAUAUUAUAUUAUUUCACACAUUAUGGAUUACCUUUGGAGUAUUGCUACAGCCUAUUAGCGCCAGCCUCACCACAACAGAUGACCAUCGAUGUCCAAUCAUCGAACCUCGACCUGAUUUUAAGAUACCAACAUGUUCAGCAGGCCUGAGCAGUACGUCUAUAGGAUGCUGGAGAAAAGGUUGGGUUGUUGUCAUGUCAAUCACAUCUGGAGUCCGACGGACGUUUGUUAAGGGUUGUUUGAAAUACCUUAAAAAAAUGUGUCACAAAGCUAAUCCUUGCAUUUUGCAAUUACGCUCUCCUGCUUGUAAUCGUCUGGCUCCACACAUAUCAGAAUAUUCCAUAGAAUAUGCUUGUGUUGAUGCUACACCACCAGGUAAGCCUGUAAUAGAAGGCUUCAAUCCAGAGAUUCCAUUGUUAGAAAACGAGCGACUGCUCGUGUCAUGCAACUGGUCCGGAGGGUUUCCGUCUGCCCUAGUGCGGCUCUCCUGCGGUGCGACAAUCAGCAUUGGAGUUUCUGUAACCAUGCUCGCGAUAGAUGUCAAGCGGGAUUUGAAUGAUUUUCAGUGUAUUUGUGAAGGGCUUCAUCCAGGAAUUAGUAAAAACACAUCACAGUCAAUGACAGUUUAUUAUCCCCCAGCAACACCCAAAGUGUUUCCCUCAACAGUAUUUCCUUGGUUUGAGAACCAAACCGAACAGAUAAUUUGCCGAUCUGAUCCCGAAGGCAAUCCCCCACCAACAACAUAUGAAUGGUUUCCAACCGAAGGAAGCAGCAUGCAGGAUACAAAUAGUGAUGCAGAUGGUCAUUUGACAUUCCACCAAGUCAACAGGAAACACAACUUACAAGAGUUCUAUUGUGUAGCAACAAACCAAUUCACACAAAUGACCGAGAAGUUAGUCAAAUCAAAAGAGAUCACCGUCCACGUUACUUAUCCUCCAAUUGGACGUCCGGAAAUGAAAGUUAUAGGCCCAAACGAAUCUUUAUAUGGUAACGAAACACUGACUGUAGUAUGUGCAUGGAAAGGUGGAAAUCCGGAAGCUAAUCUGCAACUAACAUGUGGCAGUCUUAAUUACAUGGGUGUUUCGGAAGUAUCUGUUUUACUGGAGUUUAGUAAACACCUGAACAUUUCAUCAUGCACUUGCAAUGGUACACAUCCUCUAAAGCAGAUUGUCAAUACGCGCAACGUCAGCUUCAACUAUAUUCCACGGGGUAACAUCCUAAUAGAAGGGUUUGAAACGGAUAGACCAGAAACAGAAAAUACUACAUUAACAGUAGCAUGCAGCUGGAUUGGAUCCCAACCAGCUCCAAGAGUACAACUCACAUGUGGUGGUGUGAACAGCUCAGGCAAACAAGCAUGUGCAUUAUUUUUCUUUCUCACUCGACAUUUGCACGGAACGGACUGUGUAUGCACUGCCAUGUUUCACAAAUGGAAGAAGACGGUUACCAAACAGUUAAAUAUCUAUUAUACGCCAGGAAGUCCAAAGAUCACAUCUCAGAGCAGCUUACCGUGGAUUGCAGGAGAUGUGCAAACGCUUACAUGUCAUGCAAGACCUGGAAAUCCUCCAGACACACAAUAUAAAUGGCUCUCAGAAUCGGGAUAUUUAAUACACAAAGGAGAAACACUGACAUUUGAUCCAGUGACUCGCAUGGAACACCGAAUGACUGUAAUAUGUCAAGCUGAAAACAAAUUAUCUCACACAGUCAUUGGACGUCCCAAGACAGCCUCCGUACGACUAGAGGUGAAAUACCCACCUGGCCAGCCAAUGAUAAGCAGCAGUCAUGAUUUCCCCUGGCUUGAAGGCAGUGACCAAUCACUGUACUGUGAAGCGAAACCUGGUAACCCUCCCUAUGUGUUCUACAAGUGGUUUUCGGCCAACAGAGGACUGAUCCAUACAGGAUCCGUGCUGAGGUUCCACCCUGUCAGUCGCUCCAACCAUUCCGAUCGGCUGGCAUGCAGGGCAGAGAACACAUUCACAGUUAUGCAACAUGGCAAGCACAUAACACAAAGUGUUAUAGUGUUAGUUGAAUACCGUCCGGCAAUUGAACUGACAGAAAAUUCCACUGUCAGUGAAAGUCAAGACAUUACGCUCCAAUGUUCAGCCGAAGGUAACCCAAGUCCGCAAGUAUCAUUGCAAUUUGGAGAAGUUUUACAAAAUGACAGCCAUACAUUUGAGAAUAGUCCUAUGUUUCUGGAACUGAAGAAUAUCAGCAGAAAUCAAGCAGGGCAGUACACUUGCACUGCAAAAUCAGAAUCACAUGUAUACGGUGCACUAAUAUCAGAGAAAUCAAUGAACCUUGUGGUUCAAUAUUCUCCAGACGUGCAAGUGGUGACACCACCAAAUGCCACUGAGGGAACUCAAGUAAAUUUGACGUGCGUCGCUGAUGGAGAACCUAAUAGAUAUACAUACAGGUGGCAGCACAAGUGGGGUGAAAUUAUCCUACAAGAGUUCGACAACGUUGAGACAAGCUCAGAACCAGCUGUGUUAACUUUAGAAAAUGUAACAUUUGAAGAUGGCGGCACUUAUAGAUGCUUAGUUGAAAAUGGUAUUCCAGAUAGAAAUGGCAAUAUUAUGAAAUCAGGUUCAGCUGAAUUUAUCAUACAAGCUAAACCCGUUUUCGAGAUAGAUGCCAUAUCGAAUGUUUCUAUUGAAUAUGGUGGCAAUCUGAGUAUAUCUGUUAGCUUUUAUUCAUUCCCAGUCUAUAGCGAAAUGACCUGGUCUUUCGAUGACACGAUAACAUCUGAGCCAGACAUUAGUACAGAAAUACAACCGACAAUAGUCUUACUCUCAACAUAUGGCAGAGAAGUGACAGCCGAGGGACAUGCUGUCAUAUUCACAAUAACUGACCUGAGAGAAACUGAAAUCCGUACACUUAAUUUGAAUAUUAGCAACUCAGUUGGAACCGGUAGUCAUCAAAUCACAAUAAUUCCUGCAGGUCCACCAUUAGAACCAAUGGAUUUCACAGUUGUAAAUAUAACUCAUACAAGCAUCACAGUAAAAUGGACUCCAGCAUUUAAUGGAGGUUAUGAACAGCUGUUUUAUUUGUCCCACCGACCUAUUUCAUACGAUGGUGAAUGGAUAGAAACAAUCCACGCAGACCAAGGAAAUGGCAAUGAUAUCUUCGUAACUAUCAAUAACCUGAAACGUGGCGCUAAAUACGCUUUCUCGUUGCACACUGAAAACACACGCCCUGGCGAACGCAACAGAAGUCAAACUCUUAAGUUUACUACCAAAACUGAAGAAAUCCAAACAGUGAGAAUAUCACCAUCAUCAAUUACUACUGGAACAGCGUUAGGUUUUAUAAUCGGUGGAAUGAUAGCAGCUGCUUUAGUCAUCACUGCCUGUUUCCUGAUUGGCCGGAUUGCAUGCCGAGGAUCAAAUAGAAAUGAUUCCAUCCACAAGACAGACUCGUUCAUAUACGAAGACAUCGACGACAGCCACACAAGCCCAGUGUCAGAGCUUCGAACUAGCCUCGGUGAACAAUGCGACCACUACCACAAUGACAACAUCAGCUGGAGCGUCUGGAUGUGAAGAACCUGGAUCGCCAGAUUUACGCCUCACUCCCCUCAUUGCAGAGAACGGCAAUGCAGAUAUAGAAAUUCCACACAUGACACCAAAGCAAAAUUUAAAUGAAGACGAACUUUGAAAAUUAAAUUAAAAAGAACUAUUGAGAAUUUUAAUUUUUUUCCCUUGGAACUGUUUCUAACACUCCAUACCAAAAUUUUUUUAAAAAAUGAAAUAUAUCUGCUAAUAUUUGCUGGAUAAUAUCAUUGCAUCGAUCUAUGCUAUCAAUUGGAUAGCAAAAGAAACAAAUUUGAAACAAAAAGACAUCAUGAAGAAAUAAUUUUCUGGUUUUAUUUUUUCUUAACUUUUUUCUUUUCAAAUUGGAGAAUUAACCUAAAAAUAUGAAAAGCAAAUGAAUAAAAAUGUCUUCAUACAAGGAAUAUCUAAACGAAGAACUAAUAAAAGAAAGAUAAUAUUUUAAAGUUUUAAGACAAGAAAGACCAAACGUUGAAGAUACAUUCAGUGGAGUUUAAUCGGCACUUUAUACCGUCAGUUCUUAUCAUGACACCAGUUGCAGUCAAGUAAAAGAUAUAUUCAAAACAUGUACUUACAUAUAUAUGUACCUAUAUAUAUAUUCUUUUCUACGAUAAGAAUAUAACGUCAAUAAAAUUGCCGGCUGAACUCUUCGACACUCCCUUCUCCUUCUCAAGUAAGAAUUUCCAAGGACUCGACCUUUGGUAACUUGUUGAAAUAGCAGAGGUAGCAAAAUUAUCUCAUAAGGAAAGUCACCAUACAAAUGCACACACAUAGCACACACUUACACAGACAUACAAACAUUAUACACAUUAUAUAUAUAACAUACACACAUAUCUAUAUACAUACAUACAUAUACAU